CUUUGUCAUAUAGAGUUUUUCAUGGUCUAUGCUUUGCUGACUGCAUCCUCAUGGUAUCAUUCAACACUGCAUAGGCCUCGGUAUGGUUCUGCCUCCAUUUGUUCAUAUUGUGAUGCUUCUUUAGGUGAGCCCUUGGGCAACUGAAUCUGCUCUGUCCUCACAUGCAGAAAGCCUGAAGGACCUGGGAUUUCAUGUCUCCCUGGAAUGGCUCUUAGCCAAUGACUUACGGGCACAGGGGUACAGAAACCUAGCUCUCUUGCCUCAUGUCAGUACGGCUCUGAGACCUUUACACACUAGAGUUCUUCUGUAGGAUCAAGUUGAAGCUACUUUCCACACAUUUGUGCCUGAAACCACACAUCCACAUUGUUUAUUCUCCUUCCCCAGGCCUGCUUCUCCUGCUCCCUUACUAGUUUCCCCUGCAAACACUGUCUUAAUAAAUCACUUGCAAACAAAUCCUCAUCUCAGGGAAUGCUUCUGGGAAACCCAAAGAAUGACAAUUGAUACCAGUUUGGUCCCAGAAAACAGGUUCUAAUGGUGGGAUUCUGAAGACAGCUUGCUCACUGACCAGAAGAAAACAAGAACCCCUUCACUGGUGAUUUGUCAAUUGUAUUGGUGCAGACUCUAUUUAAGGAGUUCCAGGGACACUCAAGGACAACAGAGAAGACCAAAAGUAGGGCACUAGAGUAAUUUGAAUCCUCUGACACUCACAGACAUAGAAAACAUUAAACACAGACCAGCUUCUAGCCAGACUAACAGAAAACCUCACACUAAAGGCCUAUUUCCUUCAGUCUCUAAUAUCUGAUACAUCACAUCUCGCUUAAAAAAAAUUACAAGGCAUGCUAAGAGGCAAACAAACAAAACAACACAGACUGAAAAGAUGAUGCAAGCAUCAGGACCAGACUCAGAUAUGACACAGACAUUCGAAUUAUCAGACAGGGAAUUUAAAAUAACUGUGGUUAAUAUAUAAGGGCUCUGAUGGUAAAAGUGGACAGAGUGAAAGAACAAAUAGAUAAAGUAAGUAGAUAAAUGGAAACUCUCAGAAUGAAUCAAAAGGAAAUACCAGACAUCAAAAACACUUUGACAGAAAUGAAGCUGAUCAGUAUACUGAACAAGCUGAGGAAAGAAUCAGUGACCAUGUCAAUAGAAACUUCCCAACUGAAAUGCAAAAAACAAACAAACAAAAACCCCUAACAGAAUAUCCAAGAAAUGUGGGAUAAUUUCAAAAGGUGUAACACACGUACAACCAGAAUACCAGAGGAGAUGAAAGACAAAAUGGAGCAGAAGAAAUAUUUGAAGUAUUAAGUCAAAGAGUUUCCAAAAUGAGUGUUAGACAUUAAACCACAUUCUCAGUGAAGAUCCAGAAUACUCUGAGAAGAACAAGUAUGAUAAAUACCCAAAAAUCUACACCUAGGCUUGUUCUACUCAACUGCAGAAAACAAAAAAUAAAACCUUGAAGAAAGAAAAUGAAGAAUCUCAUCUAUAGGGAACAAGGAUAAGAAUCACAUCAGACUUUUCGCCAGGAACCCCAUGAGCAAGAAGAGGGUAAGUGAAAUAUUUAAAGUGUUAAAAGGAGAAAAUCUCGAAUUCUAUAUCUAGUGAUAUUAUCCUUACUAACUGAAAGUGAAAUAAAGAUUUUCCUCAAACAAAGUUCUGGAAAUUUAUUGCCAGCAACCCUGGUCUGUAAGAAAUGUUAAAAGAAGAAAGAAUGUUAAAAUAAGAAGGAAGGAUCCAGCCCGGUGGUACAGAGGUUAAGUUCACAAGUUCUGCUUCUCAGCGGCCUGAGGUUUGCCAGUUUGGAUCCUGGGUGCGGACACGGCACCACUUGGCAAAAGCCAUGUUGUGGUAGGCAUCCUACGUAUAAAGUAGAGAAAGAUGGGCAUGGAUGUUAGCUCAGGGUCAGUUUUCCUCAGCAAAAAGAAGAGGAUUGCCAGUAGUUAGCUCAGGGCUUAAUCUUCCUAAAAAAAAAUAAGAGGGAAAAUAAUAUAGGACAGAAACUCAGACCUAAGUUAAGAAAGAAAGAGCAUCAAAAAAGGAAUAAAUGAAGGUGAAAUAAAAUGUUUAUUUUUCUUAUUCUUAGUUGAUCUAAUAGAUAACUGUUCAAAGUAAGAAUAGUAACAAUGUAUUGGGUGAUUAACACAUAGAGAUGAGUGAUAUGAAUGACAGAAAUAUUAUAAGGGAUAGGAGAGAAGAAUUGAAAAUACUAUGUUAUAAACUAUCUACACUACCUGUGAACAGUAUAUUGUUAUUUGAAAGUGG
Molecule: long non-coding RNA, 2256 nt
Filed under: Equus caballus (horse)
Lineage: Eukaryota; Metazoa; Chordata; Mammalia; Perissodactyla; Equidae
Description: lncRNA (ENSECAG00000046283.1)
Source: RNAcentral